This 253-nucleotide unclassified non-coding RNA is filed under the name uncultured Caryophanales bacterium. RNAcentral's name for it is "uncultured Bacillales bacterium contains 16S-23S intergenic spacer region". It matches the Rfam family "Bacterial small subunit ribosomal RNA", at positions 524 to 776 of the family's 1533-position model. The record is from RNAcentral. Lineage: Bacteria; Bacillati; Bacillota; Bacilli; Caryophanales.
UACGUCGGUGGCAAGCGUUGUCCGGAAUUAUUGGGCGUAAAGCGCGCGCAGGCGGCUUCUUAAGUCUGAUGUGAAAGCCCACGGCUCAACCGUGGAGGGUCAUUGGAAACUGGGGAGCUUGAGUGCAGGAGAGGAGAGUGGAAUUCCACGUGUAGCGGUGAAAUGCGUAGAGAUGUGGAGGAACACCAGUGGCGAAGGCGGCUCUCUGGCCUGUAACUGACGCUGAGGCGCGAAAGCGUGGGGAUCAAACAGG